GGUUCCUUAGCUCAGUUGGUUAGAGCGUGGUGCUAAUACCGGUCAAAUCGUGUAACGCCAAGGUCGCGAGUUCGACCCUCGUAGGGACCA
This is a non-coding RNA of Zalaria obscura, 90 nucleotides long. The record is from the annotation of a GenBank genome assembly. NCBI's taxonomy places the organism in Eukaryota, Fungi, Ascomycota, Dothideomycetes, Dothideales, Zalariaceae.